This 292-nucleotide ribosomal RNA is filed under the name uncultured bacterium. RNAcentral's name for it is "partial 16S ribosomal RNA". It matches the Rfam family "Bacterial small subunit ribosomal RNA", at positions 505 to 796 of the family's 1533-position model. The record is from RNAcentral.
GUGUCAGCCGCCGCGGUAAUACGUAGGGUGCAAGCGUUAAUCGGAAUUACUGGGCGUAAAGCGUGCGCAGGCGGUGCUGUAAGACAGGCGUGAAAUCCCCGGGCUUAACCUGGGAAUGGCGCUUGUGACUGCAGUGCUGGAGUGCGGCAGAGGGGGAUGGAAUUCCGCGUGUAGCAGUGAAAUGCGUAGAUAUGCGGAGGAACACCGAUGGCGAAGGCAAUCCCCUGGGCCUGCACUGACGCUCAUGCACGAAAGCGUGGGGAGCAAACAGGAUUAGAAACCCCCGUAGUCC